This 468-nucleotide ribosomal RNA is filed under the name uncultured bacterium. Its description in RNAcentral is "partial 16S ribosomal RNA". It matches the Rfam family "Bacterial small subunit ribosomal RNA", at positions 28 to 507 of the family's 1533-position model. The record is from RNAcentral.
GACGAACGCUGGCGGCGUGCUUAACACAUGCAAGUCGAACGGAAAGGCCCUGCUUUUGUGGGGUGCUCGAGUGGCGAACGGGUGAGUAACACGUGAGUAACCUGCCCUUGACUUUGGGAUAACUUCAGGAAACUGGGGCUAAUACCGGAUAGGAGCUCCGGCUGCAUGGUGGGGGUUGGAAAGUUUCGGCGGUUGGGGAUGGACUCGCGGCUUAUCAGCUUGCUGGUGGGGUAGUGGCUUACCAAGGCUUUGACGGGUAGCCGGCCUGAGAGGGUGACCGGCCACAUUGGGACUGAGAUACGGCCCAGACUCCUACGGGAGGCAGCAGUGGGGAAUAUUGCACAAUGGGCGGAAGCCUGAUGCAGCAACGCCGCGUGCGGGAUGACGGCCUUCGGGUUGUAAACCGCUUUCGCCUGUGACGAAGCGUGAGUGACGGUAAUGGGUAAAGAAGCACCGGCUAACUACGUG